GACAGAGGUGCCGAGCGUUAGGCGGAAUCACUGGGCUUAAAGCGUGUGUAGGCGGAUCCGUAAGUACCUUGUGAAAUCCCACGGCUCAACCGUGGAACUGCUUGGUAUACUGCGGGUCUUGAGCCAUCUAGGGGCAACCGGAACAAACGGUGGAGCGGUGAAAUGCGCAGAUAUCAGGAGGAACACCGGUGGCGAAGGCGGUUCUCUGGGCCUUACCUGACGCUGAGGAGCGAAAGCGUGGGGAAGCGAACAGG
Molecule: ribosomal RNA, 254 nt
Filed under: uncultured bacterium
Lineage: Bacteria
Description: partial 16S ribosomal RNA
Rfam family: Bacterial small subunit ribosomal RNA
Source: RNAcentral